GUUUGGUCUUGAUUUGUGCCUUGGGGCCAUGGACUAUAAUUUUAGAACUGCUGUUUGCAUUUAAUGUUAUUAUCAUUAUAGUUGGGUUUACGUCCUUUGCCUUGUUUUUUUCUUUUUUGUUUGUUUUUUUUUUUUUGUACCUGGGUACUGGGAAUUGAAUCCACAGCCUUUGCACUGCGCUUAUUUAGCUUUUAUUUUUUUUAUUUGACACAGGUUCUCACUAAGUCCUUAAGUUUCCCAGGCAAGAAUUGAACGUGGGACCCUGCUUCAGCCUCCCACAAUGCUGGCAGGCAGGAGAUUAGGGUGUGGCCAUCUGGCUGGGCCACUGACCUGUCAGUCAUGGAGAUCCAGGGGACUUGUGCUCAGGAGACUGCUCCUGGAACCAAUGGGAAAGUGCUGUCUUCAGUUCUUUGGGAGGACUCACGCAGGACGGCCUCGGCCUGACGUCGGCGGGAGUGGGAGUAGGUCCAGAGCCUGGGAAGUUUGCUGGAGGAGGGCUUCGGCCUGUGUCCUCACACGAUGUCCUCGCGUGGCAGAAGGGCGCAGGAGGACGAGGUUGAGCUCCAUCUCGCAGCCCCCUGGGAGACGUCAGCCUCCUGGUGCAGGUGGGUCCUGCGGGCCUGAUCCCCUUCCGGAGUCCUCAUAC
RNAcentral lists this long non-coding RNA (646 nucleotides) under Fukomys damarensis (Damara mole-rat). Its description in RNAcentral is "lncRNA (ENSFDAG00000024434.1)". Lineage: Eukaryota; Metazoa; Chordata; Mammalia; Rodentia; Bathyergidae. The record is from RNAcentral.